This 1018-nucleotide long non-coding RNA is filed under the name Ananas comosus (pineapple). RNAcentral's name for it is "long non-coding RNA (ACOM_LNC044213)". Lineage: Eukaryota; Viridiplantae; Streptophyta; Magnoliopsida; Poales; Bromeliaceae. The record is from RNAcentral.
AAACCACCUAUAUAAGAGUAUCUGUAUGUGGCCACGGCUAUGUGAAUGGGCUGUCCAUAGAAGCUCUUAUGAAAAAUCAAGGUACUGUGCAUGGCCAUUAACGCACAGACUCGCGACAGAGAAUUCUGUAUUGUGUGUGUAGUAGUUGAAGUCAGGGUCAAAGGAACGUAGUUCAAGACCUCGUUCACUCCGAUUCCUUCCGAUGGAAACUAUUUACACUAAGCGGGGUUAAGUCUCUUAAAGACACCUCGCCUAUUGCAUAGUAUAAACACCUGAUGAUUUAUUUAUUUGUUUGUUUAAUUUUUUUGUGAUUUUGAAUUUUGUGGGGGAUUGUUGGAGAAAAUCCAAAAUCUCUAAAUAUCAUUAAAUUUUAUAAUUACUCUCAUUUAUUAUGUUAAUUAAUUUGAUGAAUUAAAUUUGAUUUAUUUCUUCUUAAUGCCACAUAAAGGCAUGAAUUAAGUGGAAUUAAUGUUGGGAAUGUUGGAAUCCCAACGUGCCAUUCUCUCUCUAUUAUAUAUACAAUGGAUUGCACUGUUUAUCUACAAUGAAUAGUGCUGAGAGAGAGAUUUAAGUGAAAAAAUGAAAGUAGAAACUUUAUUUAAAUUCUUUAUUUUAUUAUGUUUUGAUCUUUUUAUCAUUGGGUGUUGAAAGAGUCUCCGUCAACCUCCUUCACGAUCGUGCUCGCAGGAUGAGGAAUUCCGAUCGUACAUUGGGGUGUUAUUUCCGGUUAAUCCCGCACGUAAGGACGGGAAUACGCCUUAGGGCAGUGCCUCGCACACUUCCGGAUCAAUUAAAAUAUUUAUUUGGAUUUAGCGAUUAUCGGUAAGUUGAUUUUAUUAAUUUUAUCACAAAAUUUAGUUAGUUUUAAAUCACAAUCAGAUUUUUGUGCGGAAUUUGUUCUAACAUAAACUCUAAAAAAUUUAAUUUAUAUUCAUGUUAUCCCUUUCUUAAGUUUUUCAUCAAGCUUCGUUAAUCGAAAACUAAUGAAAUAUUAAAAUUUAGAGUAUUAGAUAUCCAU